GAUGAUGUUAUAGCAUAAGGACAUGAGGGCUUCUCCAGAGCAUAUGGCAUCUUAAGUUCAUUUGCUCUAGCACAAACCCAUCGGGUGUAGGGCUCAAAAGCAACACAAUUCUUUCUUCCUAAUCGGUCUUUUCCUUUUCUGUGAAUGUUGCGCAAAGCAUGUAUGAUUCUAUCCUUCAAACCGGAACUCUCUUCGUCGUUG
This 201-nucleotide long non-coding RNA is filed under the name Lathyrus oleraceus (garden pea). Its description in RNAcentral is "Pisum sativum (pea) long non-coding RNA (PSAT_LNC013453)". Lineage: Eukaryota; Viridiplantae; Streptophyta; Magnoliopsida; Fabales; Fabaceae. The record is from RNAcentral.